RNAcentral lists this ribosomal RNA (32 nucleotides) under Solanum aviculare. The record is from RNAcentral. Lineage: Eukaryota; Viridiplantae; Streptophyta; Magnoliopsida; Solanales; Solanaceae.
GGAUGCGAUCAUACCAGCACUAACGCACCGCA